RNAcentral lists this ribosomal RNA (464 nucleotides) under uncultured bacterium. RNAcentral's name for it is "bacterial SSU rRNA". It matches the Rfam family "Bacterial small subunit ribosomal RNA", at positions 28 to 524 of the family's 1533-position model. The record is from RNAcentral.
GAUGAACGCUGGCGGCGUGCCUAAUACAUGCAAGUCGAGCGGCAGCACGGUCUUCGGACUGGUGGCGAGCGGCGGACGGCUGAGUAACGCGUAGGAAUAUACCCAAAGUGAGGGAUAACUGCCCGAAAGGGUAGCUAAUACCGCAUGUGGUCUUCGGACUAAAGCCUUCGGGCGCUUUGGGAAUAGCCUGCGUAAGAUUAGCUAGUUGGUGAGGUAAUGGCUCACCAAGGCGACGAUCUUUAGCUGGUCUGAGAGGAUGACCAGCCAGACUGGAACUGAGACACGGUCCAGACUCCUACGGGAGGCAGCAGUAGGGAAUUUUCCACAAUGGGCGAAAGCCUGAUGGAGCAACGCCGCGUGCAGGAUGAAGGCCCUCGGGUCGUAAACUGCUUUUAUGUGCGAAGAAUAUGACGGUAACACAUGAAUAAAGGGUCGGCUAACUACGUGCCAGCAGCCGCGGUAAU